UCGAAUAUAUGGUUCUAUCAAAGGAUCGUGGGGUACAUAUUCAUGUACACGACAUCGAAAUCGUUUUGGAUCCUAAUAAAACAUAAGUAAGAAAUAAAAUAAGAAGAAGUAAUAUACAAUAAAAACAUAAAUAAGAAAUAAAUAUGAAAUAAGUAAGAAGAAAUAAUAACAUACAAAUGUCGAGAUAUUGUCGAUUGUUCCUCG
This 204-nucleotide long non-coding RNA is filed under the name Lathyrus oleraceus (garden pea). RNAcentral's name for it is "Pisum sativum (pea) long non-coding RNA (PSAT_LNC009612)". Lineage: Eukaryota; Viridiplantae; Streptophyta; Magnoliopsida; Fabales; Fabaceae. The record is from RNAcentral.